This 1174-nucleotide long non-coding RNA is filed under the name Anser cygnoides (Swan goose). Its description in RNAcentral is "lncRNA (ENSACDG00005008691.1)". The record is from RNAcentral. Lineage: Eukaryota; Metazoa; Chordata; Aves; Anseriformes; Anatidae.
AAGACAAAAGAAGCAAGUUGCUGGGGAGAGGGAGAGAACUCGGUUAGAAAGCGGCUGAUGUAGCUGGAAGAUAUCAGCCAGGUUUUGGCACACAAUCCUUUCUUCACAUCUUCAGCUCAUCAGUUGGGUUAUUGAGAAGAUCAGCUAAAAAGACCUUGGAAAAUGCCACAGACAUCACCUCUCCCAGCUGCGUCUCUAUUUCUUCUGCUUCUCCUGUUUGUCCCUGGCCAGAGUGGUGAAGAAAAUGCAUUUCUUGAACAGUCAACAGACGUGGUCAGUGUUUGGGAAGGAGACUCCGUCAGCAUAACUUGCUCAAUGUACAAUUCAAAAAAUGAACUGGGGACAUACUUGAGGACUAGAGUAUCACCAGAAAAUGUUUUAUAUGUUCCCAAGGAUAACAAACCAGCUGUCCCUUCAGCUUUUGCGAAUCGCAUCAAGUAUUCAAAGGAAGGAGCAAAAUUCACAGUAACUCUGCUCAAUGCACAGGAAUCUGAUUCAAAUUUCUACCUAUGCGUCAGGUUUAUUAAAAGAAACGGCCGUCACGUCAGGCUGGAUGGGAAGACAACCAUUGUAGUGGUGAAAGCUGCUGUGGUUCCACCUGUUAAGUUAGGAAUUAAUAAACAUGGAGGUAUGUUUUAAAUCAAAGAUUGGAAAAAAGCAUAGUGGGAGGGACAGUCUAACAGAACUUUACCCAUGUUUGCUCAGGUAACGUACUGAUUUGAAGGAAAGUGUAAGCCUGUUCUGUGAAAAGAUGAAGAAAACAUCUGAAACAUCACUUCAUGACUAAUUUAAUCCUAGCUACUUUCCAGAGACUUUCACAUGAGUCAGAAGUGUUAUGGCAGCAGGGUGGAAACAGUGAGGGCCCAUAGCUGUUUUCAAAACCAUCUGCUAAAUCUUUAUGAAAAUGAACCAACAAUGAACCCUGAUUUUGGUAGCAGCUUUUGCAAAUCUCUUUUGGUUUUGCUAUUCCAUCUGGAAUGAUAAACCGAAAAUAACCAAGAAGCUGAUGCUAGGUAGGGUUUGUGAGUUGGACGUCAGUGGAUACAGGGAUGCAUGGUUUUUAUCUCUUUAGAAAACAGUUAAAGAAUGGCCACGUUUUCCUCUUGGCAGUCAUUUCUGGUUAGGGGAAGAUUUUUUCUGUCUUUGCCCUACCCCCCCCCCCCCCCCUUUUUUU